GAUGAAUUUGAUAAAAGUAUACAAUUACAAGAUCCUACACUAAGUUGACAAAUUGAAAGUGCAUUACAUAUUAAGUUGGCCAGGUAUGUAUCAUGUACUCGUAUGCGAUUUUGAUUUGAAUUAAAUUAUAAAUAUAUAAAGUGAUGCAUCUGUGAAUAAGUGUUAUGACUAUAAAUGUGAUUGUGAUAUAUUCGGUAAAUGUGUGAAGUUAUGUGAAGUGAUUCUAUGUUUAUAUUCAAAUAUAAACACUUGGUCCUUGUGGAAAGGUUUGUGGAAGUAUAUGAUUUUAUUUUUAGGUGAUUACGAUCUUGGAAAAUUAAAUGUGAAUAUGAUAUUGUAUUUCAUUCGUUUUAAUUGAACUAAAGCUGAUAGUGAAGCAUUUUA
This 384-nucleotide long non-coding RNA is filed under the name Gossypium barbadense (sea-island cotton). Its description in RNAcentral is "long non-coding RNA (GBAR_LNC006342)". The record is from RNAcentral. Lineage: Eukaryota; Viridiplantae; Streptophyta; Magnoliopsida; Malvales; Malvaceae.